GCGCGCUUAGCUCAGUUGGUAGAGCAUUCCCUUGACGUGGGAAGGGCCAGGGGUUCGAGUCCCUUAGCGCGCA
This 73-nucleotide transfer RNA is filed under the name Patescibacteria group bacterium. Its description in RNAcentral is "tRNA-Val". It matches the Rfam family "tRNA". From Rfam's summary of the family: Transfer RNA (tRNA) molecules are approximately 80 nucleotides in length. Their secondary structure includes four short double-helical elements and three loops (D, anti-codon, and T loops). The record is from RNAcentral.